This 71-nucleotide transfer RNA is filed under the name Salmo salar (Atlantic salmon). It matches the Rfam family "tRNA". Rfam says of the family: Transfer RNA (tRNA) molecules are approximately 80 nucleotides in length. Lineage: Eukaryota; Metazoa; Chordata; Actinopteri; Salmoniformes; Salmonidae. The record is from Rfam by way of RNAcentral.
GUCCCUGGUUCAGUUGGUAGAGCAUGGUGCUAGCAACGCCUGGGUUGUGGGUUCAAUUCCCAUGGGGGACC